This 1509-nucleotide ribosomal RNA is filed under the name metagenome. RNAcentral's name for it is "bacterial SSU rRNA". It matches the Rfam family "Bacterial small subunit ribosomal RNA". The record is from RNAcentral.
AGAGUUUGAUCAUGGCUCAGAACGAACGCUGGCGGCGUGGCUAAGACAUGCAAGUCAAACGGACUGUGUUAUUUAUAAUACAGUCAGUGGCGAAAGGGUGCGGAAUGAAUAGGUAAUGUACCCCGAACUUCGGGAUAGCGUCAGGAAACUUCGGUUUCCAUCCGAAAGGGGCGGUAAUACCGGAUAAUAUCAUAUAUCGUAAGUUAUAUGAUCAAAGAUUUAUCGGUUUGGGAGCAGCCUAUUUCCUAUCAGCUUGUUGGUGAGGUAAUGGCUCACCAAGGCAGCGACGGGUAGCGGGACUGAGAGGUUGACCCGCCACAUCGGGACUGAGACACUGCCCGGACCUCCACGGAGGGCUGCAGUAACGGAUAUUGCGCAAUGGACGAAAGUCUGACGCAGCGACGCCGCGUGUAGGAUGAAGCCCUCCGGGGUGUAAACUACUGUCAGGGACUAGAAAGUAUGCUUCGGCAUAUUGAUCAAUCCCAGAGGAAGUCACGGCUAACUUCGUGCCAGCAGCCGCGGUAAUACGAAGGUGGCAAGCGUUGUUCGGAAUCACUGGGCUUAAAGCGCACGCAGGCGGAAAAGAAAGUGUGGAGUGAAAUCCCCCGGCUUAACCGGGGAGCUGCUUUGCAAACUUCUUUUCUUGAGGCAAGUAGGGGUACAUGGAACUCUUGGUGGAGCGGUGGAAUGCGUAGAUAUCAAGAGGAACGCCGAUGGUGAAGACAGUGUACUGGGCUUGUCCUGACGCUGAGGUGCGAAAGCGUGGGAGCGAACGGGAUUAGAUACCCCGGUAGUCCACGCCGUAAACGAUGUGCACUAGGUCGUGGGAGUUCUGACACCUUCACGGCCGGAGCAAAAGUGUUAAGUGCACCGCCUGGGGAGUACGGUCGCAAGGCUAAAACUCAAAGGAAUUGACGGGGGCUCACACAAGCGGUGGAGCAUGUGGAUUAAUUCGAAGCAACGCGCAGAACCUUACCUGGGUUUGACAUGUUUGUAUGGCUUCCGGGAAACCGGAUAGUCUGCCCUUCGGGGUGAAACUUACACAGGUGCUGCAUGGCUGUCGUCAGCUCGUGUCGUGAGAUGUCGGGUUAAGUCCUUUAACGAGCGAAACCCUUACCGUUAGUUGCCAGCGCGUUAUGGCGGGGACUCUAGCGGGACUGCCGGUGUUAAACCGGAGGAAGGCGGGGAUGACGUCAAGUCCUCAUGGCCUUUAUGCCCAGGGCUUCACACGUGCUACAAUGGGCGUUACAGAGCGAAGCGAGACCGCGAGGUGGAGCAAAUCGCAAAAAGACGCCCCCAGUUCGGAUCGCAGGCUGCCAACUCGCCUGCAUGAAGUUGGAAUCGCUAGUAAUCGCGUAUCAGCUAUGACGCGGUGAAUGUGUUCCUGAGCCUUGUACACACCGCCCGUCAAGUGAUGGGAGCUGGGAGUACCCGAAGUCGGAUUGCUAACUUUCGAGAGGCGUCUGCCGACGGUAAGCUCGGUGACUGGCACUAAGUCGUAACAAGGUA